RNAcentral lists this ribosomal RNA (1755 nucleotides) under Mazzaella japonica. RNAcentral's name for it is "bacterial LSU rRNA". It matches the Rfam family "Bacterial large subunit ribosomal RNA", at positions 1158 to 2925 of the family's 2925-position model. The record is from RNAcentral. Lineage: Eukaryota; Rhodophyta; Florideophyceae; Gigartinales; Gigartinaceae.
CCUGCGCGGAAGAUUUAACGGGGCUCAAGCUGUAUACCGAAGCUGCGGAUUCGACUUUUCUUCGGAUUAGUUGGAUGGUAGAGGAGCGUUCUGUAAGCCGGUGAAGGUGAAUCGUAAGGUUUGCUGGAGGUAUCAGAAGUGCGAAUGCUGACAUAAGUAACGAUAAGACGGGUGAAAAACCCGUCCGCCGAAAAUCCAAGGUUUCCUGCGCAACGUUAAUCGGCGCAGGGUUAGUCGGCCCCUAAGGCGAGGCAGAGAUGCGUAGUCGAUGGGAAACUGGUUAAUAUUCCAGUACCGCUAAUAAAUGCGAUGGGGUGACGGAGAAGGCUAGGCCAGAACACAGUUGGUGUGUAUCUAAGCGUUUAGGUGUGAGAACCAGGCAAAUCCGGUUCUCUUUAACACUGAGGCGUGAAUGCGACGAUUCUACGGAAUUGGAGUGGUCGAUGCCCUGCUUCCAGGAAAACCCUCUAAGCUUCAGUUUAUUAGCGACCGUACUCUAAACGGACACACGUGGAUAGGAUGAGAAUUCCAAGGCGCUUGAGAGAACUCUGGUGAAGGAACUAGGCAAAAUAGCACCGUAACUUCGGGAGAAGGUGCGCCCCUGACGGUUCAUAGCUGUUGGGGGCCGCAGAGACCAGGUGGCUGCGACUGUUUAACAAAAACACAGCACUCUGCUAACGCGAAAGCGGACGUAUAGGGUGUGACGCCUGCCCGGUGCCGGAAGGUUAAUUGAUGGGGUUAUCUUCGGAGAAGCUCUUGAUCGAAGCCCCGGUAAACGGCGGCCGUAACAAUAACGGUCCUAAGGUAGCGAAAUUCCUUGUCGGGUAAGUUCCGACCCGCACGAAAGGCGUAACGAUUUGGGUACUGUCUCAGAGAGAGACUCGGCGAAAUAGAAUUGUCUGUGAAGAUGCGGACUACCUGCACCUGGACAGAAAGACCCUAUGAAGCUUUACUGUAGCUUGGGAUUGACUUUGGGUUUAUUUUGCGCAGUAUAUGUGGGAGGCUAAGAAAGUGUAUUUCUGGAUAUACUCGAGCCGUCAAUGAGAUACCACUCUGAAUAAACUAAAAUUCUAACUUUGAUAGUCGUUAACCGGCCAAAGAACAUUUCCAGGUGGGCAGUUUGACUGGGGCGGUCGCCUCCUAAAAAGUAACGGAGGCGUGCAAAGGUUUCCUCAGACUGGUCGGAAAUCAGUCUUCGAGUAUAAAGGCAUAAGGAAGCUUGACUGCAAGACCUACAAGUCGAGCAGAGACGAAAGUCGGCCUUAGUGAUCCGACAGUGCUGAGUGGAAAGACUGUCGCUCAACGGAUAAAAGUUACUCUAAGGNGAGUUCACAUCGACGGGGAGGUUUGGCACCUCGAUGUCGGCUCAUCGCAUCCUGGGGCGGUAGUACGUCCCAAGGGUUGGGCUGUUCGCCCAUGAAAGCGGUACGCGAGCUGGGUUCAGAACGUCGUGAGACAGUUCGGUCCAUAUCCGGUGCAGGCGUUAGAGUAUUGAGAGGAGCUCUCCUUAGUACGAGAGGACCGGGAGAGACACACCUCUGGUGUACCAGUUAUUGUGCCAACAGUAAACGCUGGGUAGCUAAGUGUGGAUGUGAUAACUGCUGAAAGCAUCUAAGUAGGAAGCCAACCUCAAGAUGAGUACUCUCACCGUUUAACGGAUAAGAUCACGGUAAGACUAACCGUUUGAUAGGCAUCAAGUGUAAGUGUAGUAAUGCAUGUAGCUGAGAUGUACUAAUAGAUCGAAGACUUUACUUA